RNAcentral lists this ribosomal RNA (440 nucleotides) under uncultured bacterium. RNAcentral describes it as "partial 16S ribosomal RNA". It matches the Rfam family "Bacterial small subunit ribosomal RNA", at positions 338 to 795 of the family's 1533-position model. The record is from RNAcentral.
CCUACGGGAUGCUGCAGUGGGGGAUAUUGCACAAUGGGGGAAACCCUGAUGCAGCGACGCCGCGUGAGUGAAGAAGUAUUUCGGUAUGUAAAGCUCUAUCAGCAGGGAAGAAAAUGACAGUACCUGACCAAGAAGCCCCGGCUAACUACGUGCCAGCAGCCGCGGUAAUACGUAGGGGGCAAGCGUUAUCCGGAUUUCCUGGGUGGAAAGGGAGCGUAGACGGGUAUGUAAGUCUGGAGUGAAAGCCCGGGGCCCAACCCCGGGACUGCUUUGGAAACUGUGUAACUGGAGUGCAGGAGGGGCAGGCGGAAUUCCUGGUGUAGCGGUGAAAUGCGUAGAUAUCAGGAGGAACACCGGCGGCGAAGGCGGCCUGCUGGACUGAAACUGACGUUGAGGCUCGAAAGCGUGGGGAGCAAACAGGAUUAGAUACCCGGGUAGUC